UUACUUAGCUAGGGGUGCCUGUUAGUACUAGGCUGAGAUAUACCCUAUGUACCUGAUCCAGUUAAUGCUGGCGUAGGGAAGCAGUGAUGCUCUGGU
This 96-nucleotide non-coding RNA is filed under the name Achromatium sp. WMS2. RNAcentral describes it as "TPP riboswitch aptamer (THI element)". It matches the Rfam family "TPP riboswitch aptamer (THI element)". Rfam says of the family: Vitamin B(1) in its active form thiamin pyrophosphate (TPP) is an essential coenzyme that is synthesised by coupling of pyrimidine and thiazole moieties in bacteria. The previously detected thiamin-regulatory element, thi box was extended, resulting in a new, highly conserved RNA secondary structure, the THI element, which is widely distributed in eubacteria and also occurs in some archaea. Lineage: Bacteria; Pseudomonadati; Pseudomonadota; Gammaproteobacteria; Thiotrichales; Thiotrichaceae. The record is from Rfam by way of RNAcentral. RNAcentral also lists the same sequence under 1 other name.